This is a long non-coding RNA of Triticum aestivum (bread wheat), 861 nucleotides long. RefSeq lists it as uncharacterized. The record is from RefSeq and is a predicted model, not a curated record. Lineage: Eukaryota; Viridiplantae; Streptophyta; Magnoliopsida; Poales; Poaceae. The transcript is spliced from 2 exons.
AAGCAGGGGAAACAGCUGACAGCCAUUGCUCAUUUGCUCCCUCCUCUCCUUUUGCCUCUCUGCCUUCUCUGCUCCGCGCGCCUUCUCUCUCCUCUUCAUUCAAAACCAAGCAGAGUGGGCUGCUCUGCUCUCUGCUUACCCUUAACUCUGCUUCCUUUCUUUUCUCUGGGAGACACGCAGCCCCACCCCCUUGCCUUGCCGGCUUGCUUUGCUCCCUUCUUCCUCGCUCCCUCCCUCCCCUCAAAGAGUACCACCGGCUACAACACUCCAACUCCCAACCAAGCGAGCGGUGCAAGAAGAGCAAUGGACGCGGAUGGGGCCGACCAAGCUCCGCCCAGGCCUCCAUGGCCUCCUCACCGGCACCAGGUGGACGCGGAGGAGAAGGUAGAGGGCAGGCCUGGCGCAGUGGUGAAGUCCUCCCCACUUGUGCCAAGAGGUCCUGGGUUCGAACCAGCCUCUCUGCAUUGCACUUUGCAGGGGUAAGACUAGGUUCCUAUAAUUCCUUCCCAGACCCCACCUUGUGUGGGAGCUUCUAUGCACUGGGUCUGUCCUGUCCUGGUCUGCAGGUGCCAGGCCCGCUUUGAUCACUGGGAGCAGCCGGGCGUCCACCGGUGGUGACGCCUGCCAGGCCCGCGUUGAUCACUGGGAGCAGCCGGGCGUCCACCGGUGGUGACGCCUGCUCGAUCAAGGAGCGAGGGAGGGAGGAGAAGUCGGGAAUGAAGCCGUAUUGGUCCGGGAGCGUAUACAUAGUACUCAUAUUCUUUUGCGUAACGUUAGACAAUUACCAGAUGGUACAAGUUUCAGUUUUCAGGUAGAGGUGUAAUCAGUAACUGACCAGCUAAGCCUUGCCUAUUCUUUGAA